Molecule: long non-coding RNA, 437 nt
Filed under: Olea europaea (common olive)
Lineage: Eukaryota; Viridiplantae; Streptophyta; Magnoliopsida; Lamiales; Oleaceae
Description: long non-coding RNA (OEUR_LNC009951)
Source: RNAcentral
AUCUCUCACCACCAGUACCUUCGAAGCCACCAAAGCCUACCUCAAUUUGAUCGUAAAAAGAUUAGAAAACUAAACCAAAAUCGCGCUACGAUAGUGAUAAAAAAUGACGACUGAAAAUUGGAUUCGCAAUUGAGCUAAUCCGCAGGUCUACCACAAACCGAUGGCCUUCCACCACACCCCACCUACUCCAAGCCAGACAAUAAGAUUGACUACUGAGAUCAAGAAUCCGUAGCCCCACCAUUUGGCAAGCGGCACAUAGCCAGCACCAUUGGAUUCGCAAUUGAGCUAAUCCGCAGGUCUACCACAAACCGAUGGCCUUCCACCACACCCCACCUACUCCAAGCCAGACAAUUAGAUUGACUACUGAGAUCAAGAAUCCGUAGCCCCACCAUUUGGUAAGCGGCACAUAGCCAGCACCAUAAAACACAGGUGCUGAU